GCAGUUAAGGGAAUUGUGAGAUUUAAUUAACUGGCUGCUUGAAUUGAUGAGACAGUUCUAUUAAAAUGGUCGAUCCAAUUAGGUUUUGCAAGAUGAUGGAAAAUAGAGGAUCAGUUGCUUCUGGCUCCAUGAUUUCCUUCAGUGUAUGUUCAGCUGUGGGAGUGGGAGGCAUAGUCCUCACGCCUGGCUCUCAUUUUGGCACCUGGGUGGCCCGUGACUGGGGCUUCUAAAGUGUGCCAUUUAAUCCUGCACCAAGCCAGGCAACACAAACACAGGUCUCAAUCACAAUAGCAAUAAGAUCCUCUGAAUCUGUCUGUCCUGGUGGAGGAACCUAUGGAUUCCAGAUUAAGAAACAACACAGAAGGCUACAUUCCUUCUAGAGCUUGGCAUCCUUACAGGGAAGAGAAGAGAUACCCCCACCUCCUUCUGCCACGCCUCCCAUCAGGCUUUCCGCUGAUGAAACCCAACAGGAAGCAGGAGGGGUGAAGAUCCAGUUUGUGGACGUCAAAUAGAACAGGUUGGGGUCGGGGUUGGAAUUGGGGGUUGGAGAAUAGACCAGAGGAGGACAGGAAGAGGUAAAGCAGCACUGAGAAAAACCACUGUGAAGACCGAAAAGGCUGUAAGGGUCAUCUGUGAUGAGCCUCUCUGUACCAGAGAGCCUAUGAGUUGUGGACCUUACCUUCUAAAUGGCACUGGGCUGAGAAUGUGGUUCCUAGUGUGACCUUUGGAAGACACUGGAAUGUCGCAAUGCCUCUGUUGUGGAUCUGGAGACUCCCAGCACAUAUUAACUUAUUGAAGGCUUUGGGAAGACCUUCAGCAGAGAAAUGACUCCCUCAACUUAGGAACACAGACUAUCAGGAGGAGUGAAGUGAUGGUCUUUGCUCCCUUGAGAAGCAUCUCUGAAAACAGUUUCUCCACUCUGGUGCCUCCUGUAUCUCCUGUCUCACUGCAUCAAGAAUCUUGGCUUGCCAGUUGCCUUUAAUCCCAGCACUUGGGAGGCAGAGACAGGCAAAUCUUUGUGAGAUUGAGGCAAGCCUGGUCUACAUG
Long non-coding RNA from Nannospalax galili (Upper Galilee mountains blind mole rat), 1047 nucleotides. RefSeq lists it as uncharacterized. NCBI's taxonomy places the organism in Eukaryota, Metazoa, Chordata, Mammalia, Rodentia, Spalacidae. The record is from RefSeq and is a predicted model, not a curated record. The transcript is spliced from 3 exons.